RNAcentral lists this ribosomal RNA (253 nucleotides) under uncultured bacterium. RNAcentral's name for it is "partial 16S ribosomal RNA". It matches the Rfam family "Bacterial small subunit ribosomal RNA", at positions 524 to 776 of the family's 1533-position model. The record is from RNAcentral.
UACGAAGGGGGCUAGCGUUGUUCGGAAUCACUGGGCGUAAAGCGCACGUAGGCGGACUCUUAAGUCGGUGGUGAAAUCCUGGAGCUCAACUCCAGAACUGCCUUCGAUACUGGGAGUCUCGAGUCCGAGAGAGGUGAGUGGAACUGCGAGUGUAGAGGUGAAAUUCGUAGAUAUUCGCAAGAACACCAGUGGCGAAGGCGGCUCGCUGGCUCGAUACUGACGCUGAGGUGCGAAAGCGUGGGGAGCAAACAGG